GAUGAACGCUAGCGGCAGGCUUAAUACAUGCAAGUCAAAGGGGUAGCAAUACCACUGGCGUACGGGUGCGUAACACGUAUGCAACCUACCUGUCAUUGGGGGAUAACCCCGCGAACGCGGGGCUAAUCCCGCAUAAAAUAGCAGAGGGGCAUCCCUUAACUAUUAAAGAUUUAUUGAUGACAGAUGGGCAUGCUUUAGAUUAGGUACUUGGCUAGGUAACGGCUCACCAAGCCUGCGAUCUAUAGGGGCUCUGAGAGGAGAAUCCCCCACACUGGCACUGAGAUACGGGCCAGACUCCUACGGGAGGCAGCAGUAGGGAAUAUUGGGCAAUGGGCGAAAGCCUGACCCAGCCAUGCCGCGUGCAGGAAGAAUGCCCUCUGGGUUGUAAACUGCUUUUUUGGGGAAAGAAAAAGCUCUUUGCGAAGAGCCUUGACGGUACCCUAAGAAUAAGCCACGGCUAACUACGUGCCAGAAGCCGCCGU
This 482-nucleotide ribosomal RNA is filed under the name uncultured bacterium. RNAcentral's name for it is "bacterial SSU rRNA". It matches the Rfam family "Bacterial small subunit ribosomal RNA", at positions 28 to 521 of the family's 1533-position model. The record is from RNAcentral.